This 385-nucleotide long non-coding RNA is filed under the name Cyanistes caeruleus (blue tit). RNAcentral's name for it is "lncRNA (ENSCCEG00000009130.1)". The record is from RNAcentral. Lineage: Eukaryota; Metazoa; Chordata; Aves; Passeriformes; Paridae.
GUUAUUUUGAAAAUAAGUAUUUGAGACUGGAAUACGCUCUUGACUAUUUUGAGAGUCAGUGAAGAAAGAAACAAAAAUAUCUACAGUAAGAGACAAGCGAGCAAGAGGAAUGAGUAAGGAAAGAUGAAGGCAGAUGCAUCCAGUUGUGUGGAUUCCAGGGCUGGAUGUGAUAUGGAAGGCCAGUGGUGACAGAGGCAAUGCUACAACAUGGGUGUCUGACCACUGGACUCCUGGAAGAAGCACCAUCAUCCCUUCUGUGAAUUAUGAUUGGCAAAAUUCUUCAUCUUGGGAAAGAUCUGAAGUGAGUUACAUAAAGCAGCUGCUGUUGGCAUUGCUUCCAUUCUUACAUGACCUAAUUGCAUGGAAAAGGAUGACUUAUGGUUAG